AGAGUUUGAUCCUGGUUCAGGACGAACGCUGGCGGCGUGCCUAACACAUGCAAAGUCGAGCGGAGCUAAUAGUAAUAUUAGUUUAGCGGCGGACGGGUGAGUAACGCGUGGGCAACCUGCCUCACACUGGGGGAUAACACAGGGAAAACUUGUGCUAAUACCGCAUAACAUCAUUGAAGGACAUCCUUUAAUGAUCAAAGGAGCAAUCCGGUGAGAGAUGGGCCCGCGUCCAAUUAGCUAGUUGGUGAUGUAACGGACCACCAAGGCGACGAUUGGUAGCCGAACUGAGAGGUUGAUCGGCCACAUUGGGACUGAGAUACGGCCCAGACUCCUACGGGAGGCAGCAGUGGGGAAUAUUGCGCAAUGGGGGAAACCCUGACGCAGCAACGCCGCGUGAAGGAUGAAGGUUUUCGGAUCGUAAACUUCUUUGAUGGGGGACGAAACAAAUGACGGUACCCCA
Molecule: ribosomal RNA, 460 nt
Filed under: uncultured Acetivibrio sp.
Lineage: Bacteria; Bacillati; Bacillota; Clostridia; Acetivibrionales; Acetivibrionaceae
Description: bacterial SSU rRNA
Rfam family: Bacterial small subunit ribosomal RNA
Source: RNAcentral